RNAcentral lists this ribosomal RNA (478 nucleotides) under uncultured organism. RNAcentral's name for it is "partial 16S ribosomal RNA". It matches the Rfam family "Bacterial small subunit ribosomal RNA", at positions 331 to 800 of the family's 1533-position model. The record is from RNAcentral.
GUACACUCCUACGGGAGGCAGCAGUGGGGAAUUUUGGACAAUGGGCGAAAGCCUGAUCCAGCAAUGCCGCGUGAGUGAAGAAGGCCUUCGGGUUGUAAAGCUCUUUUGUCAGGGAAGAAACGGUGAGAGCUAAUAUCUCUUGCUAAUGACGGUACCUGAAGAAUAAGCACCGGCUAACUACGUGCCAGCAGCCGCGGUAAUACGUAGGGUGCAAGCGUUAAUCGGAAUUACUGGGCGUAAAGCGUGCGCAGGCGGUUUUGUAAGUCUGAUGUGAAAUCCCCGGGCUCAACCUGGGAAUUGCAUUGGAGACUGCAAGGCUAGAAUCUGGCAGAGGGGGGUAGAAUUCCACGUGUAGCAGUGAAAUGCGUAGAUAUGUGGAGGAACACCGAUGGCGAAGGCAGCCCCCUGGGUCAAGAUUGACGCUCAUGCACGAAAGCGUGGGGAGCAAACAGGAUUAGAAACCCGAGUAGUCCCAUGA